GUAGGCUAUGGAGAUGUUGUACCCGUGACUGUUGCUGGCAAGCUGGCAGCUUCUGGUUGUAUCCUCGGUGGGAUUUUGGUGGUGGCACUGCCUAUUACUAUCAUCUUCAACAAG
Anolis carolinensis (green anole) is the source of this 114-nucleotide regulatory RNA element. It matches the Rfam family "Potassium channel RNA editing signal". Rfam says of the family: This family represents a group of sequences related to the human potassium channel Kv1.1 hairpin element which directs the efficient modification of an adenosine to inosine by an adenosine deaminase acting on RNA (ADAR). The ADAR modification causes an isoleucine/valine recoding event which lies in the ion-conducting pore of the potassium channel. The record is from Rfam. NCBI's taxonomy places the organism in Eukaryota, Metazoa, Chordata, Lepidosauria, Squamata, Anolidae.